RNAcentral lists this long non-coding RNA (264 nucleotides) under Elaeis guineensis (African oil palm). RNAcentral describes it as "long non-coding RNA (EGUI_LNC072511)". Lineage: Eukaryota; Viridiplantae; Streptophyta; Magnoliopsida; Arecales; Arecaceae. The record is from RNAcentral.
UAUUGCUCUCAGCUCAGCCAAGCUCCUCUAGUCUCCGAUCUUCCCUAGCCCGGAGUUCUCUAGUUUGAAAAGAGCGUACAUGAAUGAUGGAAUUCGAAGAUCUAUCCAAUUAUUCAACAAAAAAAAUAUAUCUAAUGGUAAUUUAAUGGUGGAAUCACAUGAAUGAAGGUGAAACAAAGUAGAAAACAAUAAGUUGGGAUCUAUAUGGUUGAACAUGCACCAGAAUUUGGUCCUAUCACAUAAUCUUUUAGAUGUUGAUUAAUG